Long non-coding RNA from Populus euphratica (Euphrates poplar), 470 nucleotides. RefSeq lists it as uncharacterized. The record is from RefSeq and is a predicted model, not a curated record. The transcript is spliced from 3 exons. Lineage: Eukaryota; Viridiplantae; Streptophyta; Magnoliopsida; Malpighiales; Salicaceae.
UCAAUUUUCUAAUAAGCAAGUGUCCAGGCAUGAGCCAUGUAUAAAAUGCUCGCACUGGUCAUGCUAGACAUCUUUACUGACUGCUGAAACCAAGAGAGUGCGUGGAAUGGAGAAACUUGCACAAGAUCUGAAGAAAGGAUUCCUCAAUCUAUUUGAAGCUAUCAGAGGUAGCAGAAACUCUCAAGGAAAUGAAAAUGGGGAAGAAACCAAGUCAGAAUCCGUGGAGGGAGUAACUGUACAAGAAGAGGGCAUCAAAGUCACAGCCAGGGGUCCAAAACUCCCAGAUGUGCCCAAAGGUCCACCCCCUAAGAAUGCUUGAAGAUUCUGAUAUACUAAAAACACAAGUCUUGUACUCAAUCUUGAUUUCUGCUCUGUUUUUUUUCUUUUCUCUCUCUCUAAAAAGUAAUUUCUUUGGGGUUACCCGUAUUGUAAUCAACCAUCCAUGUCUACUUCUAUUUGUUUCAUCGGGU